AUUGAACGCUGGCGGCAUGCCUUACACAUGCAAGUCGAACGGCAGCACGGGUGCUUGCACCUGGUGGCGAGUGGCGAACGGGUGAGUAAUACAUCGGAACAUGUCCUGUAGUGGGGGAUAGCCCGGCGAAAGCCGGAUUAAUACCGCAUACGAUCCACGGAUGAAAGCGGGGGACCUUCGGGCCUCGCGCUAUAGGGUUGGCCGGUGGCUGAUUAGCUAGUUGGUGGGGUAAAGGCCUACCAAGGCGACGAUCAGUAGCUGGUCUGAGAGGACGACCAGCCACACUGGGACUGAGACACGGCCCAGACUCCUACGGGAGGCAGCAGUGGGGAAUUUUGGACAAUGGGCGAAAGCCUGAUCCAGCAAUGCCGCGUGUGUGAAGAAGGCCUUCGGGUUGUAAAGCACUUUUGUCCGGAAAGAAAUCCUUGACUCUAAUACAGUCGGGGGAUGACGGUACCGGAAGAAUAAGCACCGGCUAACUACGUG
RNAcentral lists this ribosomal RNA (486 nucleotides) under uncultured bacterium. Its description in RNAcentral is "partial 16S ribosomal RNA". It matches the Rfam family "Bacterial small subunit ribosomal RNA", at positions 30 to 507 of the family's 1533-position model. The record is from RNAcentral.